UUUUGGACAAAAAUAAAAAGGUAAGUAUUACUAAUUACUAAGUAUGAGAAUUUUUGGCUAAAAUUAUUCCUUAUCUUUAAGGGUAAGUUUAACUUUAUCCUCCACAUAUACCUUGAGUACCAAUUGUCUUCUAAAUUUGCAAAAGUUGAGCGCUUUUCGUCCAUACAACAUCCAUUAGAAAGCUAGCAGCAACAUGCGAUCUGCAGGUGAUACGUUUCAGUUUUCACCUCCAAAUCUUCUUUCAAGAAUUGUUCGGCUGAAAAUUACAUACGUAGUUUCACUAAUUCAAACAAGACCCAGAUCGCGGGCAAGUCCCAGAUAGCAUUGUUAGUACACUGUAUUUAUAAAAUAAUUUUGGAAAAGGAAAUUAACAUAUAAAAUAGAAAUGUAGAAGAAACAGAAUUUUAUCCGAGCCCACUGAAUUCAUAGUGUUUCCUUAAAGAACUUAAUCCCUUCCUAAUACCCGAGGUUGUGGAUUAUUUCCUCCUAGAAUAGAACGGAUUACACACUGGUGUAACGGUACUUCAAACCCCAUUAUUUCAACGAACACAAGUUUUAAAGCUUAAAUCGUCCAUACUGACAUUCUAAGUUUACCGACUAUGUAGGUUGUUUGAAUCCGGUGGAAGUAAUAAUUUUCUCCGGUAGAAAAGCUGGCAAUCGACUGAUUUUGGGGGUGAAAGAGAGCUGGAUUUAAAUAAAAAAAAUGUUUCAUGUGUAGUUGAGUAAUGGCUCUGCUAGUUUUCUAGCGAAUGUCAUGUUAUUUGUUAGUUGGACUAAAGGCGGUUAACUUUUGCUAACUUAGAGGAUAAUUCACGCUCAAUAUUAUAUUUGAAGGACAAAGUUAAAUUUACCCUGAAAAGAUAAGGGAUAAUUUUGGUAAAAAAAAACUCCUAAGUAUGAGCAAUAGCAAACGCAUUUAGAAGUGAAACAAUUACUAUGAACAUAUUAUUUGAUUAAUAUCUUCAUAAGUAUUUACGAGAGAGAGAGAGUCCAUUGUUAUUUUAUUUUCUCUUAUUAAUUAUUAAUGUUCAUUCAAUUCUGAGGCUAGCUAACUUGGUUUAAAAAAACCAUUCUUACAAAGGAGUAAUUACGUACUAGUACAAGUAAAGAAAAGGAAAAAAAAUAUGUAGUGAUAGAAUUAUCAACUUAAACAAUUUUUUGCAAUACUACAUUAUUUAUGCUAACAAACACCACAUAUUCCUUUCUCGCAAAAUCUACAUAGGCAUAAUCACCCAGCUAGUAUAGGCGAAAAACCUAAAAUAACCUAACUGCAAAAAAAAAAAUUAAAAGUUAUGGAAUUAAAAAAAAUUACAUGUGUAAUUAAACUAAGCUAUCUAUACCAUAAUUUGUACAAAAUUGAAAUUGGUGAAUACAAAUAUUGAAUCACCAAUAUAAUACAGAGGAAAACUCUACAACCAAAAGACAAACUAAUGAAUGAAAAUUAAAUUACUAUACCUUUAACGGAUAGCAAGAGGAACUCUAAAUGCAGAAUUCAAGCCUUUCUUUUCUUGUUGUGUAGAGGAUUUGGUCCAGUGGGAACUCUCCUCUUAUCGGACUCAAAGCCUCUAGCAAACGGCGCACUCGCCUGAGGUUGAAAAACUUGAUGUUUUCUCGCCAUCGACGGACCGGAAAAUCGUGCCGCCGGUGGACGGCCGAUGGCGUGAAGUAAUACAAUUUGAGAAGUGAAGAGGAGAAAGAAGAAGAAAAAGAAAUGAAAGAGACUGUUCAUGAUUGAAGAAUGUUGUUAUGUUAAAGUGCUAGAAAAGGUUGAAAAUGGUAGCUAGCAUUUUG
This 1791-nucleotide long non-coding RNA is filed under the name Nicotiana tabacum (common tobacco). RNAcentral's name for it is "long non-coding RNA (NTAB_LNC000892)". The record is from RNAcentral. Lineage: Eukaryota; Viridiplantae; Streptophyta; Magnoliopsida; Solanales; Solanaceae.